RNAcentral lists this ribosomal RNA (794 nucleotides) under uncultured bacterium. RNAcentral describes it as "bacterial SSU rRNA". It matches the Rfam family "Bacterial small subunit ribosomal RNA", at positions 8 to 796 of the family's 1533-position model. The record is from RNAcentral.
AGAGUUUGAUCCUGGCUCAGGAUGAACGCUAGCGGCAGGCCUAAUACAUGCAAGUCGAACGGUAACAUGAGUAGCAAUACUUGAUGACGAGUGGCGCACGGGUGCGUAACACGUAUGCAACCUACCUUUAACUGGAAGAUAGCCGCCCGAAAGGGUGAUUAAUACUCCAUAACAUUAUGAAACAGCAUUGUUUUAUAAUUAAAGCUCCGGCGGUUAAAGAUGGGCAUGCGUCUGAUUAGCUAGUUGGCGAGGUAAAAGCUCACCAAGGCUACGAUCAGUAGGGGUUCUGAGAGGAUAUACCCCCACACUGGUACUGAGACACGGACCAGACUCCUACGGGAGGCAGCAGUAAGGAAUAUUGGACAAUGGAGGCAACUCUGAUCCAGCCAUGCCGCGUGAAGGAUGAAGGUGCUAUGCAUUGUAAACUUCUUUUGAACGGGAGAAAACCUUUGGUCGUGUACCGAAGCUGAUAGUACCGUUAGAAUAAGGGUCGGCUAACUUCGUGCCAGCAGCCGCGGUAAUACGAAGGACCCGAGCGUUAUCCGGAUUUAUUGGGUUUAAAGGGUGCGUAGGCGGAAUAGUAAGUCAGUGGUGAAAGCCUGUUGCUUAACAACAGAACUGCCAUUGAUACUACUAAUCUUGAGUACAUAUGAUGUGGGCGGAAUGUGCCAUGUAGCGGUGAAAUGCUUAGAUAUGGCACAGAACACCGAUUGCGAAGGCAGCUCACAAAACUGUUACUGACGCUGAGGCACGAAAGCGUGGGGAUCAAACAGGAUUAGAUACCCUGGUAGUCC